Molecule: ribosomal RNA, 252 nt
Filed under: uncultured bacterium
Lineage: Bacteria
Description: partial 16S ribosomal RNA
Rfam family: Bacterial small subunit ribosomal RNA
Source: RNAcentral
ACGGAGGAUCCAAGCGUUAUCCGGAAUCAUUGGGUUUAAAGGGUCCGUAGGCGGCCUUAUAAGUCAGUGGUGAAAUCUCCUAGCUCAACUAGGAAACUGCCAUUGAUACUGUAGGGCUUGAAUUUUUGUGAAGUAACUAGAAUAUGUAGUGUAGCGGUGAAAUGCUUAGAUAUUACAUGGAAUACCAAUUGCGAAGGCAGGUUACUAACAAACGAUUGACGCUGAUGGACGAAAGCGUGGGGAGCGAACAGG